CAUCCUCCAAGGCUAAAUACUCCUGACUGACCGAUAGUGAACCAGUACCGUGAGGGAAAGGCGAAAAGAACCCCGGCGAGGGGAGUGAAAAAGAACCUGAAACCGUGUACGUACAAGCAGUGGGAGCACAGGUUUACCUGUGUGACUGCGUACCUUUUGUAUAAUGGGUCAGCGACUUAUAUUCUGUAGCAAGGUUAACCGUAUAGGGGAGCCGGAGGGAAACCGAGUCUUAAUUGGGCGUUAAGUUGCAGGGUAUAGACCCGAAACCCGGUGAUCUAGCCAUGGGCAGGUUGAAGGUUGGGUAACACUAACUGGAGGACCGAACCGACUAAUGUUGAAAAAUUAGCGGAUGACCUGUGGCUGGGGGUGAAAGGCCAAUCAAACCGGGAGAUAGCUGGUUCUCCCCGAAAGCUAUUUAGGUAGCGCCUCGUGAAUUCAUCUCCGGGGGUAGAGCACUGUUUCGGCUAGGGGGCCAUCCCGGCUUACCAACCCGAUGCAAACUGCGAAUACCGGAGAAUGUUAUCACGGGAGACACACGGCGGGUGCUAACGUCCGUCGUGAAGAGGGAAACAACCCAGACCGCCAGCUAAGGUCCCAAAGUCAUGGUUAAGUGGGAAACGAUGUGGGAAGGCCCAGACAGCCAGGAUGUUGGCUUAGAAGCAGCCAUCAUUUAAAGAAAGCGUAAUAGCUCACUGGUCGAGUCGGCCUGCGCGGAAGAUGUAACGGGGCUAAACCAUGCACCGAAGCUGCGGCAGCGAACGUAUCACCCAAGACAACUUUACGGAGUUGACGAUUGACGGAGCGAAGCGACGUCAAAGCGUUCAUUAAAGUCGAGUUGGCUUAGGGAUACGUUCGUUGGGUAGGGGAGCGUUCUGUAAGCCUGUGAAGGUGUGUCGUGAGGCAUGCUGGAGGUAUCAGAAGUGCGAAUGCUGACAUAAGUAACGAUAAAGCGGGUGAAAAGCCCGCUCGCCGGAAGACCAAGGGUUCCUGUCCAACGUUAAUCGGGGCAGGGUGAGUCGACCCCUAAGGC
This 1030-nucleotide ribosomal RNA is filed under the name Salmonella enterica. RNAcentral describes it as "partial 23S ribosomal RNA". It matches the Rfam family "Bacterial large subunit ribosomal RNA", at positions 454 to 1397 of the family's 2925-position model. Lineage: Bacteria; Pseudomonadati; Pseudomonadota; Gammaproteobacteria; Enterobacterales; Enterobacteriaceae. The record is from RNAcentral. RNAcentral also lists the same sequence under 2 other names.